RNAcentral lists this ribosomal RNA (428 nucleotides) under uncultured bacterium. Its description in RNAcentral is "partial 16S ribosomal RNA". It matches the Rfam family "Bacterial small subunit ribosomal RNA", at positions 354 to 796 of the family's 1533-position model. The record is from RNAcentral.
GUAGGGAAUAUUGCGCAAUGGACGAAAGUCUGACGCAGCGACGCCGCGUGAGUGAUGAAGGCCUUAGGGUCGUAAAGCUCUGUUGAAUGGGAAGAAAAAAAUGACGGUACCAUUCGAGGAAGGACCGGCUAACUUCGUGCCAGCAGUCGCGGUAAUACGAGGGGUCCUAGCGUUGUUCGGAAUCAUUGGGCGUAAAGGGUGUGUAGGUGGCCAUGUAAGUCAGGUGUGAAAGCCCCGGGCUCAACCCGGGAAGUGCACUUGAUACUGCGUGGCUUGAGUACCGAAGAGGGUAGUGGAAUUCCAGGUGUAGUGGUGAAAUACGUAGAUAUCUGGAGGAACACCGGUGGCGAAGGCGGCUACCUGGUCGAGUACUGACACUGAGACACGAAAGCAUGGGGAUCAAACAGGAUUAGAAACCCGGGUAGUCC